Molecule: long non-coding RNA, 174 nt
Organism: Gavialis gangeticus (Gharial)
Lineage: Eukaryota; Metazoa; Chordata; Crocodylia; Gavialidae
Exons: 3
Source: RefSeq, a predicted model, not a curated record
GUAAAUAGCAAUCAUAUAGAUUUGGAAGGACAUCUUUGAGGUGACUUUGCUGGACUUUUUGAAGGGCUCUUGGCUGGAAUCUUCUCAGGAGUUCUGGCUGCAGGAAGAGAAAUUUAGUUAUGCAUGUUAGGAAGAACUUGUCUUCCUACGAGGGUGGUUAAGCAUUGGAGCAGG